RNAcentral lists this ribosomal RNA (253 nucleotides) under uncultured bacterium. RNAcentral describes it as "partial 16S ribosomal RNA". It matches the Rfam family "Bacterial small subunit ribosomal RNA", at positions 524 to 776 of the family's 1533-position model. The record is from RNAcentral.
UACAGGGGGGGCAAGCGUUGUUCGGAAUUACUGGGCGUAAAGGGCUCGUAGGUGGCCAACUAAGUCAGACGUGAAAUCCCUCGGCUUAACCGGGGAACUGCGUCUGAUACUGGAUGGCUUGAGUAUGGGAGAGGGAUGCGGAAUUCCAGGUGUAGCGGUGAAAUGCGUAGAUAUCUGGAGGAACACCGGUGGCGAAGGCGGUGCUCUGGGCCGAAACUGACGCUGAGGAGCGAAAGCGUGGGUAGCAAACAGG